RNAcentral lists this ribosomal RNA (433 nucleotides) under uncultured bacterium. RNAcentral describes it as "partial 16S ribosomal RNA". It matches the Rfam family "Bacterial small subunit ribosomal RNA", at positions 29 to 507 of the family's 1533-position model. The record is from RNAcentral.
AACGAACGCUGGCGGCAUGCCUAACACAUGCAAGUCGAACGAGACCACCGUGUGUGCUUGCUCACGGGUGCGUAACGCGGGGGAACCGGCCCGUAUGUACGGAAUAAUUCUUUGAAGGGGGGGCUAAUACAGGAUAAUUUAUUCGGACAAAGGAUAUAUCGCCCUUGGAUGGGCACGUGUUGGUUUAGCUUGUUGGUAGUGAAAGAGCCGACCAAGGCGACGAUCCAUAGCUGGUCUGAGGGGAUGCUCAGCCACACUGGGACUGAGGCACGGCCCAGACUCCUACGGGAGGGAGCAGUGGGCAGUACUAGCCAAUGGGCGAAAGCCUGGUACAGCUUCGCCGCGUAAGUGAUGAUGGUCUUAGGAUUGUAACGCUCUUUUACCCGCGCUGAGAACGACCGUACCGGGAGAAUAAGCCCCGGCUAACUUCCUU